RNAcentral lists this ribosomal RNA (459 nucleotides) under uncultured bacterium. RNAcentral describes it as "SSU rRNA". It matches the Rfam family "Bacterial small subunit ribosomal RNA", at positions 26 to 518 of the family's 1533-position model. The record is from RNAcentral.
AGAAUCAACGCUGGCGGCGUGCCUAACACAUGCAAGUCGAACGAGAAAGGGACUUCGGUCCUGAGUAAAGUGGCGCACGGGUGAGUAACACGUGACUAACCUACCCUUGAGUGGGGAAUAACUUCGGGAAACCGAGGCUAAUACCGCAUAACACCUACGGGUCAAAGGAGCAAUUCGCUUAAGGAGGGGGUCGCGGCAGAUUAGCUAGUUGGCGGGGUAAUGGCCCACCAAGGCAGUGAUCUGUAUCCGGCCUGAGAGGGCGCACGGACACACUGGAACUGAAACACGGUCCAGACUCCUACGGGAGGCAGCAGUGGGGAAUUUUGCGCAAUGGGGGAAACCUGACGCAGCAACGCCGCGUGGAGGAUGAAGUCUCUUGGGACGUAAACUCCUUUCGAUCGGGACGAUAAUGACGGUACCGAGAGAAGAAGCCCCGGCUAACUUCGUGCCAGCAGCCGC